GAGCCGGGCUAGAACAGAGAGCACACACUUGUGCUAGGAGAAAGUUUGGAAGCUAUUCUUUAGACAUUAAUUGAUCAAUCUUGUGGGACAGUGCAUAUACUUUGUCAGAUAGACCUAUGGACUGGCUAACUUCAUAUAUGGUCCCUUUUCUUUGAGAACUCGGGGGUGCUUGACGAGCGGAGGAGGCAUGGUGGAGGGAAUUUUCAUUGAGGUUUUCAAACAACUGCCAUGCCUCAUGCUCACUCUUAAGCAUGAAAGUUCCCCCAUAAGAAGCAUCAACCAUCUGACGGUUUCGUUCAGACAACCCGUCAUAAAAGAAUUACACUAAUUGUCAUUUGGGUAUUUGAUGAUGCGGGCAUUUUCGGAGUAAAUCUCUAAAUUUUUUCCAAGUUUCAUGAAAUUCUUCCUCGUCAGAUUGGAAGAAGCUCGUGA
RNAcentral lists this long non-coding RNA (432 nucleotides) under Phoenix dactylifera (date palm). Its description in RNAcentral is "long non-coding RNA (PDAC_LNC006720)". The record is from RNAcentral. Lineage: Eukaryota; Viridiplantae; Streptophyta; Magnoliopsida; Arecales; Arecaceae.